GUGCCAGCCGCCGCGGUAAUACGUAGGGGGCAAGCGUUGUCCGGAAUCAUUGGGCGUAAAGCGCGUGUAGGCGGUUCGGUAAGUCUGCUGUGAAAGUCCAGGGCUCAACCCUGGGAUGCCGGUGGAUACUGUCGGACUAGAGUACGGAAGAGGCGAGUGGAAUUCCCGGUGUAGCGGUGAAAUGCGCAGAUAUCGGGAGGAACACCAAUUGCGAAGGCAGCUCGCUGGGACGUCACUGACGCUGAGACGCGAAAGCGUGGGGAGCAAACAGGAUUAGAUACCCUGGUAGUCCACGCCGUAAACGAUGGGCACUAGGUGUGGGGGGUGUCGACUCCCUCCGUGCCGAAGCUAACGCAUUAAGUGCCCCGCCUGGGGAGUACGGCCGCAAGGCUAAA
RNAcentral lists this ribosomal RNA (395 nucleotides) under uncultured bacterium. RNAcentral's name for it is "bacterial SSU rRNA". It matches the Rfam family "Bacterial small subunit ribosomal RNA", at positions 505 to 898 of the family's 1533-position model. The record is from RNAcentral.